RNAcentral lists this non-coding RNA (187 nucleotides) under Desulfobacula sp. RNAcentral describes it as "6S RNA". It matches the Rfam family "6S / SsrS RNA". Rfam says of the family: E. coli 6S RNA was the first non coding RNA to be sequenced, but its function was unknown until recently. It consists of 184 nucleotides that fold into an extended hairpin structure with a large single-stranded internal bulge. Lineage: Bacteria; Pseudomonadati; Thermodesulfobacteriota; Desulfobacteria; Desulfobacterales; Desulfobacteraceae. The record is from RNAcentral.
UUUCCCCUGAAAUGUCCGUGAUUGUAAUUUAGCCUUUGCCCUAACGCUUUUAAAAAAGGGAGUCCACACUUUUACCGGUGUGCUAAGUUCCAAUUUAUAUGGAAAAGCCUAAAGGUAAUACUGGACACCCACCUUGAGACACAAUGGUUCAAAGCCAAAAAAUCAACACGACAAUUUUGGGGGUAAU